AAACUUUCAACAACGGAUCUCUUGGCUCUCGCAUCGAUGAAGAACGCAGCGAAAUGCGAUAAGUAAUGUGAAUUGCAGAAUUCAGUGAAUCAUCGAAUCUUUGAACGCAACUUGCGCCCUCUGGUAUUCCGGAGGGCAUGCCUGUUUGAGUGUCAUGUAGACUCAAUCCCUCGGGUUUCCGAGGAGAUUGGACUUGGGUGUCUGCCUCUUUUGGCUCGCCUUAAAAGACUUAGCGGGAUAGCACCAUAGUCGACUUAAUAAGUUUCGUCGGUGAAGGUGUGAUGUCUGCUCACAAUCGCCCUUGGGCACUUUUGACUCUGACCUCAAAUCAGGUAGGACUACCCGCUGAACUUAA
This 355-nucleotide small RNA is filed under the name uncultured fungus. RNAcentral's name for it is "eukaryotic LSU rRNA". The stretch from base 2 to 155 matches the Rfam family "5.8S ribosomal RNA". The record is from RNAcentral. Lineage: Eukaryota; Fungi.